GAUGAACGCUGGCGGCGUGCUUAACACAUGCAAGUCGAACGGGAAACCUUUUAUUGAAGCUUCGGCAGAUUUAGCUGGUUUCUAGUGGCGGACGGGUGAGUAACGCGUGGGUAACCUGCCUUAUACAGGGGGAUAACAGUCAGAAAUGGCUGCUAAUACCGCAUAAGCGCACAGAGCUGCAUGGCUCAGUGUGAAAAACUCCGGUGGUAUAAGAUGGACCCGCGUUGGAUUAGCUGGUUGGUGGGGUAACGGCCCACCAAGGCGACGAUCCAUAGCCGGCCGGAGAGGGUGAACGGCCACAUUGGGACUGAGACACGGCCCAGACUCCUACGGGAGGCAGCAGUGGGGAAUAUUGCACAAUGGGGGAAACCCUGAUGCAGCGACGCCGCGUGAAGGAAGAAGUAUCUCGGUAUGUAAACUUCUAUCAGCAGGGAAGAUAAUGACGGUACCUGACGAAGAAGCCCCGGCUAACUACGUG
This 478-nucleotide ribosomal RNA is filed under the name uncultured bacterium. Its description in RNAcentral is "partial 16S ribosomal RNA". It matches the Rfam family "Bacterial small subunit ribosomal RNA", at positions 28 to 507 of the family's 1533-position model. The record is from RNAcentral.